GACGAACGCUGGCGGCGUGCUUAACACAUGCAAGUCGAACGGAAAGGCCCUGCUUUUGUGGGGUGCUCGAGUGGCGAACGGGUGAGUAACACGUGAGUAACCUGCCCUUGACUUUGGGAUAACUUCAGGAAACUGGGGCUAAUACCGGAUAGGAGCUCCUGCUGCAUGGUGGGGGUUGGAAAGUUUCGGCGGUUGGGGAUGGACUCGCGGCUUAUCAGCUUGUUGGUGGGGUAGUGGCUUACCAAGGCUUUGACGGGUAGCCGGCCUGAGAGGGUGACCGGCCACAUUGGGACUGAGAUACGGCCCAGACUCCUACGGGAGGCAGCAGUGGGGAAUAUUGCACAAUGGGCGGAAGCCUGAUGCAGCAACGCCGCGUGCGGGAUGACGGCCUUCGGGUUGUAAACCGCUUUCGCCUGUGACGAAGCGUGAGUGACGGUAAUGGGUAAAGAAGCACCGGCUAACUACGUGCCAGCAGCCGCGGUGAUACGUAGGGUGCGAGCGUUGUCCGGAUUUAUUGGGCGCAAAGGGCUCGUAGGUGGUUGAUCGCGUCGGAAGUGUAAUCUUGGGGCUUAACCCUGAGCGUGCUUUCGAUACGGGUUGACUUGAGGAAGGUAGGGGAGAAUGGAAUUCCUGGUGGAGCGGUGGAAUGCGCAGAUAUCAGGAGGAACACCAGUGGCGAAGGCGGUUCUCUGGGCCCUUCCUGACGCUGAGGAGCGAAAGCGUGGGGAGCGAACAGGCUUAGAUACCCUGGUAGUCCACGCUGUAAACGGUGGGUACUAGGUGUGGGGUCCAUUCCACGGGUUCCGUGCCGUAGCUAACGCUUUAAGUACCCCGCCUGGGGAGUACGGCCGCAAGGCUAAAACUCAAAGGAAUUGACGGGGCCCCGCACAAGCGGCGGAGCAUGCGGAUUAAUUCGAUGCAACGCGUAGAACCUUACCUGGGUUUGACAUGGAUCGGGAGUGCUCAGAGAUGGGUGUGCCUCUUUUGGGGUCGGUUCACAGGUGGUGCAUGGCUGUCGGCAGCUCGUGUCGUGAGAUGUUGGGUUAAGUCCCGCAACGAGCGCAACCCUUGUUCACUGUUGCCAGCACGUUAUGGUGGGGACUCAGUGGAGACCGCCGGGGUCAACUCGGAGGAAGGUGGGGAUGACGUCAAGUCAUCAUGCCCCUUAUGUCCAGGGCUUCACGCAUGCUACAAUGGCUGGUACAGAGAGUGGCGAGCCUGUGAGGGUGAGCGAAUCUCGGAAAGCCGGUCUCAGUUCGGAUUGGGGUCUGCAACUCGACCUCAUGAAGUCGGAGUCGCUAGUAAUCGCAGAUCAGCAACGCUGCGGUGAAUACGUUCCCGGG
RNAcentral lists this ribosomal RNA (1343 nucleotides) under uncultured bacterium. RNAcentral describes it as "16S ribosomal RNA". It matches the Rfam family "Bacterial small subunit ribosomal RNA", at positions 28 to 1378 of the family's 1533-position model. The record is from RNAcentral.